RNAcentral lists this long non-coding RNA (1052 nucleotides) under Bos indicus x Bos taurus (hybrid cattle). Its description in RNAcentral is "lncRNA (ENSBIXG00000007582.1)". Lineage: Eukaryota; Metazoa; Chordata; Mammalia; Artiodactyla; Bovidae. The record is from RNAcentral.
AUACAUUUUUGAAACUUUAAUGAUACUUAAUGGGAUACCUUUUUUAUUCUUUUCUGGAGAGAAAUGCCAAAUGAUGAGUGAAAAAAGAGGGAAUCCUGAUUUUAUUUCACUGUUACGGUAUACUUUGUUUAAAGAGAUCAGGGAAGCCCACAGUAGUGAAAAUAAAAUACUUUUCUCAUGUUGCCAAUACUUCCCUACAGAAUUGAAGAUGUCACCCUUGGCUUGUAUGUUAAUUUCAGCCUGUCAACCAUGUCUGGGAUUCAGACACCUGCGAGAAUUGAGGCUGGUGCUCACGGCUGGAGCAGCUCUAGAAGAUGAAUAAAAGAAUGGCAGUAAUCCCCGCCAAGGUGAAUGGAAGCCGUCUUUGACCACAUGCAGAUGAUGAGAGACUACAGUGUGAAAUAUCUGUGCUUAAUAAUGAUAACUAGGAGUAUUUGUUGGCAAAUGCAAGCCUCAGGAUGGCAGAAGGGCUGCAAAGUAUAGAGUUGUGGUCCAAAGUGUGCUGCAGUUUUAAACAAAGAAUGGAAACCUAUGUCAUGAUUCUCUUAUUUCCCAUUUUACCCACUAAGUAUAAUAUUUGCUAAUCAUCUAAGGGUGACCAAUUGGUUUUCUCCAACUCUUCCAAGCCAUCUGCUGCAGUAAAAUGCACAAAGUGGACCAUGAAAACAGCAGAAGUUUCCAUUUCAAUGUGUAUCCAUCUCCAAUGUCCUUCUCAAGCAUUUUACUUCACAGAAAACUACGUCUAUUAAUACACUAGUAUAUCAUUUAAAGUUUCUGAAUUCUUGAUCUCUUAAUCAUGAUCUGGAUUUAGUUAUUAAUAUAUCAUAACAAAAAUGGAUACCAUAUACUGAGUACUUAUUGUAAAUAUUGGGUCAAAUCCUUACAAAUAUAUUUCUUGUUUAAUUCUAUAUGCAACUCAUGAGACAAGUUCCAGUUUUAUUCCCAUUUUACAUAAGGAACUGAUAGAGUUCUCAGUGAUUUGUUACUUUAACAUUACAUGUUUAACUAUUAUGCUGUACUUCCCCAAAUAAACCAUGCUCUCUGGCUACCCA